This 3249-nucleotide long non-coding RNA is filed under the name Vigna radiata. Its description in RNAcentral is "long non-coding RNA (VRAD_LNC007286)". Lineage: Eukaryota; Viridiplantae; Streptophyta; Magnoliopsida; Fabales; Fabaceae. The record is from RNAcentral.
UUAUUUUUGUAAGUUUGCUGGUCUUUUGAUACAUGAUAAGAUAUAUGCUAUGAAUGACCAACUUUACAUUCUAAUACAUGAUAAGAUAUAUGCUAUGAAUGACCAACUUUACAUUCUAAGUAGAAAUCUUCAAGUCAUAUUCAUCUUCCUUAUACAUCUAUAUUUUCCGUUUGCAGACAUCUAUCUUCUUUCUUCAUAGUUUCAAAGUCCAGUUCUUAGAUAAAAGAAUACACACCGGUGGUAGACAACCCUCUGCUUUCUGCCUAACCAUAAUUUCUCUUCUGCUUACAGAGCAAGUUCCUUUUGCAGUAAAGGAUUUGUAUGUGUGAGUUUCCUGCUCGUUUUAAUUUUUAGUUUUCUUCAUUUAUAUGAGAUGAAUCAAUUUGAUUGAAUAAAACUAUUAAACUACUACUGAUAUGGAUUGUGGAAUGUGAAUUGAAUAGGAUUGUUUCUUCCUUUCUGUGCAUCUGCUUUUACUAUUGUGUAUAUUGUGUUUUUGCAAAAGAUAUAUUGAUGUCAUCUGUACACCUUACUUCUAGUGCACAUAAAGAAUCUCAUUAAUAGGAGUAGCUACUCUCACAAGUUAAAGUAGUAAUUAGUAAGUAACAAACUAGAAAGCUGAAUAUCCCAUAUCCCAAGUUAAAGUAGUAAUUAGUAAGUAACUCAGACUGCUUGAAAAAUGAGGCCAGGGGGCAAGUUCGUGGCCUGGGUUCCCAUGGUGACAUAUUGUCUUACUUGAGAGAUAUGCAAAACAGGGUGAACAUGAUCUACUUGAAUGAAAUAAAUAACUCUUGAAUAUGCGACUAUCAAAGAGUUUAGAGUUUAGAAGUAUAUAACGAGAAAAUUUCUCUAUUUAAAUUUAUAUUGUGUAUAAAUACUAACAGUUAAUCCUUGUUAAUCCUAAGGCAUAGAAACUUAAAACAACUUGAGAUAGAAAUGGAUUUUACCAGUACCAUACAAAUCUGCACAUAAUUGGAAUUUGCUUCUGACUACAAGACAAAAUUCAUGUUUCAAUGAAUGUUGUUAUUUCGGUCAAGAGAAAUAUCAAUGAGUAAUAUACCAUUAAUGUCGACUAUAGGUUUUGUGUCGUUCCAUGCCUACAUUCGCAACUACAAAUCAUUAUCAAACCAAAAAACCAUCAAGAAAUUCUUUUCAAUCAAAGAUAUCAAAUUUCAAAACACUAAAUCUACUUACAUUUAUAACCUUCAUAUUUUGUGCAAUCCAUCAUUGUGAAUCCAACUAAAAUACAGAAUCAACCUUCAAAAUGUAAUAAAUAUUGAUUAACUCAAUUGACUUAGUGAACAAACCAUGAUGAAGAAUCUUAACUACUACUUCCCAUGAACACGUGAUUCCAAUGCAAAUAGAGUGAUAAACUCCCCACGUUUAUGCAUCUUUUAGAGUAAGUGACUAAAUUUCAAAGCAAUAACUAUGUCACCAAAGAAAAAUAUCAGAAAUUUUAGAAAUGAAAACCAAUGAAAUAAGAAAAGGUAAAUGAUUAUGACGUUACCUGGCUAUGGUGGAGAUUAUAUACAUUGUGACAUCAUCCAAAAUAGACAGAUAAAAGUUGCUUGAUUAAAUAGAAAAUUGCUCAUGCUUCUACGAUAAUCAGUAAGUUUGUGAAGAACACUUCUCAGUCUGCAGCUCAAUGGAGCAGUACUAAUUCUAGAGGGAUGGUGAGAUUAUGCCUAGCUUUUCCGUCACAUUCAUGACUUCAGAUUCUCUGCUGGAUUUUUUAGUGCUAACCUAUGCUAAACAUUAAAAUUAUAUUAAUGUAUUUUGAAGACACAGCAUAAAAACAACACAAAACAACCUAAUGGAGAAUCCAAACUCUACCUUAUAUAAAACCCGUAAAAUUGCCCCUCCUUGUUUCAUUCACAUUUAGUAGCCCCUUAAAAGAUCCAUGCAUGAACGGCUGUUUUGGGUUUAGUGUUUACAUUGCGUCAUUUUGCAGGACUUAGAGAAGUCAUUGAAAGAAAAAUAAUGACUCGAAAGAAAUAUAUUAUGCACCAUGUAACUAAAUGAAUUUUCUCUUAUUUUUCAAACUCAUCAUAUUCCUUCUUUUUUUCAUUCCAUACUUUUCCAUUAUGUUUUGCUUUACAUCGAUCUCAAAAUAUAAAGAAACUAUCCCUUUUUCGCAUGGUCAUGAAAAUAAAGUUUAAUAGUAUUUCUCAGUUUAAAGGUAGUUCAAAAGUAUUUGCACACAUGGACUAUGUAUGUGUUUAGACAUAUUGGACCACUUUUUUUCCUUUUCUCAUUGAGAUGAUUAAUUCAUGAACCAUGCAAUUCCAUAAGUUGGAACAACUGUGUCACCCCCACAGUGGUUAAAAUCAAGAUUUAACUUGUAAAAUUGUCCUAUCCAUGAUUUUGCAUAGUAUAACCGAUUCAAAUAUCACGCAUGACCAUGACAUAGCAAAAUCGAACGGAUUGUCAAACAAAAUCGUGAAAUUAUGUAAAUCAACAUUUCUCCUAUAUUGUUUCAUUGUUCACCAUCUAAGGUGAAUGGAUUUGGUUCAAUUAAAACCUAAAACUAAUUAAAAGUUAAUAUGAUUAAAAUUUCACCCUGUUAUUUGUGUUGUUAGCAGCAAAAAUACCCAAUUAACAGUUAAUGCAAUUAGAAUUCACGUUUUUUUUGCAGCCAAAAAACCGAAGUAGUAAUCACCACGGAAGCAUGCAACAGAGCCUCAAAUCACAGACAUUGAAACAAAACCACAAAAUAAAAUUCGAAAAAAAAAAAAUAGAGAAAGCAAGAAACAGUUAUUCAUCAUUUAGUCGAGGAAAAAACCUAGCAACAACGUCACCAUUGAUUACAGUAGCUAGCAACAACAUCACCAUAGAGAAAGCAAGAAACUUAUUCAUUAUCAAGCUUAGGAAAAAAGUGAAGACUCACUUGGCUUUGGGUUUAGGGUUUUGUCCUCGAGUAAAUGGAACCGCGAUUCUGGGUGGAUGAAAGAUAGCGGACGGGCGGCGGGUCUCCGGCGGCAGUGGUGGCCGGUGGGCACGAGAUGGUCACAGGCGGUGGUGGCUGGCUCUCAAACGCGUCGUCGACCGAAUGGAACCGCGAUUCUGGGUGGAGAGAAGAGCGCGGAAGGGCGACGGGUCUUCGCCGGCGGCAGUCCGGCGGCAGUGAUGGCCGGUCGGAAAGAGAUGGUCACAGGCGGUGGUGGCUGGUUCUCGAACCGGUUCGCUUCUCCCAAGUGUCGAAUGCCAAAAUUUAAGAAUCACAUUUCAAAUUCAAAAUCUCCCCUUUCU